GCCCUAACUUCACUCCGUCUGAGCCCUAAUAGUCAUCAUCUUCCUUGGGUGAUCGUUAUUUGAGAAAUGCUCCAAUAUGUUUAUGUGGGUCGAUUGCACGUCUCAAAAUCUCGAACACUUCAAGAAAU
Juglans regia (Persian walnut) is the source of this 128-nucleotide long non-coding RNA. RefSeq lists it as uncharacterized. The record is from RefSeq and is a predicted model, not a curated record. The transcript has 2 exons. NCBI's taxonomy places the organism in Eukaryota, Viridiplantae, Streptophyta, Magnoliopsida, Fagales, Juglandaceae.